Camelus ferus (Wild Bactrian camel) is the source of this 73-nucleotide non-coding RNA. NCBI's taxonomy places the organism in Eukaryota, Metazoa, Chordata, Mammalia, Artiodactyla, Camelidae. The record is from Rfam.
GAGAGUAUAACUCAGUGGUAGAGUGUGUGCUCAGCAUGCACGAGGUCCUGAGUUCAAUCCCCAAGUACCCUGG